Molecule: unclassified non-coding RNA, 248 nt
Filed under: Malaysian periwinkle virescence phytoplasma
Lineage: Bacteria; Bacillati; Mycoplasmatota; Mollicutes; Acholeplasmatales; Acholeplasmataceae
Description: 16S-23S ribosomal RNA intergenic spacer
Rfam family: tRNA (bases 93-166)
Source: RNAcentral
UACUAAGGAAAGAAAUCAUCUUCAGUUUUGAAAAACUUAGGUUGAAAAAAAAUUAAGUUUUUCCUUUUUAGGUUCUCCAUCAUUUUUAAAAUGAGCCUAUAGCUCAGUUGGUUAGAGCACACGCCUGAUAAGCGUGAGGUCGGUGGUUCAAGUCCAUUUAGGCUCACCAAUAUUUAAAUUUGAAAAAUAACUUAAAAAAAGUUCUUUGAAAAGUAGAUAAACAUGCCAUAUAAACUCUAUUUAAAUUG